AUAAUGAUACUUCUUUCGUGAAAGCCGGCUCGUCGAGAACAGAGGCGGAGGUGAAAUUCCUAUGU
This is a regulatory RNA element of Johnsonella ignava ATCC 51276, 65 nucleotides long. It matches the Rfam family "pemK RNA". Lineage: Bacteria; Bacillati; Bacillota; Clostridia; Lachnospirales; Lachnospiraceae. The record is from Rfam.